AGAGUUUGAUCCUGGCUCAGGACGAACGCUGGCGGCGUGCUUAACACAUGCAAGUCGAACGAAGAGCGAUGGAAGCUUGCUUCUAUCAAUCUUAGUGGCGAACGGGUGAGUAACGCGUAAUCAACCUGCCCUUCAGAGGGGGACAACAGUUGGAAACGACUGCUAAUACCGCAUACGAUCCAGUCUCGGCAUCGAGACUGGAUGAAAGGUGGCCUCUAUUUAUAAGCUAUCACUGAAGGAGGGGAUUGCGUCUGAUUAGCUAGUUGGAGGGGUAACGGCCCACCAAGGCGAUGAUCAGUAGCCGGUCUGAGAGGAUGAACGGCCACAUUGGGACUGAGACACGGCCCAGACUCCUACGGGAGGCAGCAGUGGGGAAUCUUCCGCAAUGGACGAAAGUCUGACGGAGCAACGCCGCGUGAGUGAUGACGGCCUUCGGGUUGUAAAGCUCUGUUAAUCGGGACGAAUGGUUCUUGUGCAAAUAGUGCGAGGAUUUGACGGUACCGGAAUAGAAAGCCACGGCUAACUACGUGCCAGCAGCCGCGGUAAUACGUAGGUGGCAAGCGUUGUCCGGAAUUAUUGGGCGUAAAGCGCGC
Molecule: ribosomal RNA, 593 nt
Filed under: uncultured Veillonella sp.
Lineage: Bacteria; Bacillati; Bacillota; Negativicutes; Veillonellales; Veillonellaceae
Description: bacterial SSU rRNA
Rfam family: Bacterial small subunit ribosomal RNA
Source: RNAcentral